UGUCACGAGUGCCAGUGCGAAGCCCCGGCUUGCUGGCCGGCAACCCUCCUCCGCGGUGGGGUGCCCCGGGUGAGGACACGGCCUCCUGCGCACCGCAGGUCGGCAAGCGCGGACU
RNAcentral lists this non-coding RNA (115 nucleotides) under Nocardioides sp. RNAcentral describes it as "SAM-IV sequence". It matches the Rfam family "SAM (S-adenosyl methionine) riboswitch aptamer". From Rfam's summary of the family: SAM-IV is a mRNA element that regulates gene expression via direct sensing of S-adenosylmethionine (SAM or AdoMet). SAM-IV riboswitches share conserved nucleotide positions with the previously described SAM-I riboswitches sequence analysis and molecular recognition experiments suggest that SAM-I and SAM-IV riboswitches share similar ligand binding sites, but have different scaffolds. RNAcentral also lists the same sequence under 1 other name. Lineage: Bacteria; Bacillati; Actinomycetota; Actinomycetes; Propionibacteriales; Nocardioidaceae. The record is from RNAcentral.